RNAcentral lists this long non-coding RNA (886 nucleotides) under Pogona vitticeps (central bearded dragon). Its description in RNAcentral is "lncRNA (ENSPVIG00000002480.1)". Lineage: Eukaryota; Metazoa; Chordata; Lepidosauria; Squamata; Agamidae. The record is from RNAcentral.
UCUCUCGGCUGAGAACCAGAGGCUGAAGGAGAAGAGACCUGAUCAGGAGGGGGGGAGGACCCAUCUCUCGGCUGAGAACCAGAGGCUGAAGCGGCAGGUAUGUGUGCUGUGGGAGGUGGUGAUCCAUUUCCUGACUGAGAAUCAUCAGCUGAAGCAGCCGGAUCAGGAUCCUGUGGAUCUGAAAUCCCUUCUUCCAGUUGAGUUCCCAAAGGUGGAGGAACAAGACCAUGAUCAGGACGAGGUGACCCGACUCUUGGCUGAGAACCAGAGGCUGAAGGAGCAGGUAGACUCACUGACGGAUGUUGUGUCCCAUAACCUGGCUGAGAACAACAAACUGAAGCUGCAGCGCCCUGAUCGGGAAGAGCCGGUGUCCCGCCUGAAGCAAGAGGGGCCGCUCAGGAAUAGACAGGGAGACUCUGGAACCCCCCAAACAGCUAAAAGAGUUUCGGCUUCAUUGCCCAGAGGAAUAACAUCUGAUGUAGACUUCUUUGUCCAGUUCCGGACUUCUGGGAAAACAGGUGGCUGCGAGGAGAAGUUCUUAAAGUAUGUCUCAAAGCACCCGUUCCGCAAAGGAGUCUCUCUAAAAGUGAAGGAGUUCAGGGAGACCUCGAAACACCUCCUUCUGCUCUUCUGCCCCAUAGCAUCCCGCAUGGGCACGGACAUCGAAAACGCCCUCGAGGGACUCAGUGAUUUAGGGGGUUGGAGACUAAAGGGAGCAUGCAAUAAGGAUCAGAGGGAAGUGGAGCACAGGAAAAAGUGUGCUGAAUAACGCUGGUCAAUGACCGUAACAAAGAUUGAAUUGAAAAAAAGGACUCUUUCCCUAUGGGUUUCCCUAUCUCUUCAGUCUCCCCAUAAUAAAUAAAAUGUGUUGGUCUUGAAGAGGUCA